Pongo pygmaeus (Bornean orangutan) is the source of this 600-nucleotide non-coding RNA. Lineage: Eukaryota; Metazoa; Chordata; Mammalia; Primates; Hominidae. The record is from the annotation of a RefSeq genome assembly.
GGCAAAUAAUUUCUGAGAGUCAUGGAUCUCAUGUGCAAGAAAAUGAAACACCUGUCGUUCUUCCUCCUGCUGGUGGCAGCUCCCAGAUGGGUCCUGUCCCAGGUGCAGCUGCAGGAGUCGGGCCCAGGACUGGUGAAGCCUUCGGAGACCCUGUCCCUCACCUGCGCUGUCUCUGGUGGCUCCAUCAGUGGUUACUCCUGGGUCUGGAUCCGGCAGCCACCAGGGAAGGGACUGGAGUGGAUUGGGAGUAUCCAUUCCAGUGGGAGCACCUACUACAACCCGUCCCUCAAGAGUCGAGUCACCAUAUCAGUAGACACGUCCAAGAACCAGUUCUCCCUGAAGCUGAGCUCUGUGACCGCCGCGGACACGGCCGUGUAUUACUGUGCGAGAGACACAGUGAGGGGAGCUGAGUGUGAGCCCAGACACAAACCUCCCUGCAGGGAGGCGGAGCGGGCGGGCGCAGGUGCUGCUCAGGACCAGCAGGGGGCGCGCGGGGCGCACAGAAUAUACAAGGCCGGGUCAGGAGCAGGCGCAGGGAGGGUGGGGCUUCCUCAUCAGCUGGGUGGUCUCCCUCCUCGCCAGCACCUCAGCUUUCCGUAG